AGUGAACGCUGGCGGUAGGCCUAACACAUGCAAGUCGAACGGCAGCACAGUAAGAGCUUGCUCUUACGGGUGGCGAGUGGCGGACGGGUGAGAAAUACAUCGGAAUCUACUUUUUCGUGGGGGAUAACGUAGGGAAACUUACGCUAAUACCGCAUACGACCUACGGGUGAAAGCAGGGGAUCUUCGGACCUUGCGCGAUUGAAUGAGCCGAUGUCGGAUUAGCUAGUUGGCGGGGUAAAGGCCCACCAAGGCGACGAUCCGUAGCUGGUCUGAGAGGAUGAUCAGCCACACUGGAACUGAGACACGGUCCAGACUUCUACGGGAGGCAGCAGUGGGGAAUAUUGGACAAUGGGCGCAAGCCUGAUCCAGCCAUACCGCGUGGGUGAAGAAGGCCUUCGGGUUGUAAAGCCCUUUUGUUGGGAAAGAAAAGCAGCAGGUUAAUACCCCGCUGUUCUGACGGUACCCAAAGAAUAAGCACCGGCUAACUUCGUG
Molecule: ribosomal RNA, 492 nt
Filed under: uncultured bacterium
Lineage: Bacteria
Description: partial 16S ribosomal RNA
Rfam family: Bacterial small subunit ribosomal RNA
Source: RNAcentral